CGAGUGGCGGACGGGUGAGUAACGCGUAGGGAUCUGCCUUAAAGUGGGGGACAACCCGGGGAAACUCGGGCUAAUACCGCAUAAUCUCUGAGGAGAAAAGCUGGGGACCGCAAGGCCUGGCGCUUUAAGAGGAACCUGCGUCCGAUUAGCUAGUUGGUAGGGUAAAGGCCUACCAAGGCGAUGAUCGGUAGCUGGUUUGAGAGAAUGACCAGCCACACUGGGACUGAGACACGGCCCAG
This 239-nucleotide ribosomal RNA is filed under the name uncultured bacterium. RNAcentral's name for it is "partial 16S ribosomal RNA". It matches the Rfam family "Bacterial small subunit ribosomal RNA", at positions 92 to 334 of the family's 1533-position model. The record is from RNAcentral.